GCAUGGCUCUGGAUUUAUGGUGGGUCUGGUCCCAUGGCCCUUUCCAUAGUGUACUCCAUGCUAAAGCAAUCCUACUACCCCGAACCAUUGGCUAGCUCGGCUUGCUGUAGCCCUGGCCACUGAAGCGGGUGGCACAUCU
This is a small nucleolar RNA of Euleptes europaea (tarantolino), 139 nucleotides long. RefSeq annotates it as small nucleolar RNA SNORA42/SNORA80 family. The transcript has a single exon. NCBI's taxonomy places the organism in Eukaryota, Metazoa, Chordata, Lepidosauria, Squamata, Sphaerodactylidae. The record is from RefSeq and is a predicted model, not a curated record.